Molecule: ribosomal RNA, 257 nt
Filed under: uncultured bacterium
Lineage: Bacteria
Description: partial 16S ribosomal RNA
Rfam family: Bacterial small subunit ribosomal RNA
Source: RNAcentral
GACGAACGCUGGCGGCGUGCUUAACACAUGCAAGUCGAGCGGUAAGGCCCUUUCGGGGGUACGACGAGCGGCGAACGGGUGAGUAACACGUGGGUGACCUGCCCUCAGCUCUGGGAUAAGCCUGGGAAACGUGGGUCUAAUACUGGAUAUGACUCCACGGUGCAUGUCGUGGGGUGGAAAGCCUUGUGCGGCUGAGGAUGGGCCCGCGGCCUAUCAGCUUGUUGGUGGGGUGAGGCCUACCAAGGCGACGACGGGUA